GUGUCAGCCGCCGCGGUAAUACGGAGGGUGCAAGCGUUAUCCGGAUUUACUGGGUUUAAAGGGUGCGUAGGCUGUCAGAUAAGUCAGUGGUGAAAGGCUGUGGCUUAACCAUGGGAAUGCCAUUGAUACUGUUUGACUUGAAUGAAGAAGAGGAUAGCGGAAUGUGACAUGUAGCGGUGAAAUGCAUAGAUAUGUCAUAGAACAUCAAUUGCGAAGGCAGCUAUCUGGACUUUUAUUGACGCUGAGGCACGAAAGCGUGGGGAGCGAACAGGAUUAGAUACCCUCGUAGUCC
This 292-nucleotide ribosomal RNA is filed under the name uncultured bacterium. RNAcentral's name for it is "partial 16S ribosomal RNA". It matches the Rfam family "Bacterial small subunit ribosomal RNA", at positions 505 to 796 of the family's 1533-position model. The record is from RNAcentral.